GAAGCUCCAAGAGGUUGUUUCUGACAGCUUGACCACCUCUCACUCUCACAAGUUGGCUGCCUUGUCAUUGGCAGAGUCCUCAAGCAGAUCCAGCUGCCCAGACAGAGCUGGCUCGUGCUUGGAAACGUGGCAGGCAGCCAGAGCAGCAGAGAGACCUGCUGGCUUUUCCCUACACAAUCCCUUAACAAGGAAUCCUGAUGUUCCUGGGCACAGUUUUCUUUCCCUGGGUACCUCACACCUUCGGGCAGCUGCUUUGAUACCUCUGAGACUCCCCUCAGCACAGAAACAAACAAGUUUUUUUGUUUCUUUCUCUGUAAGGAUGAGCAUGCAAGAAAACCCCUUGUUAAACAGGAAUUUCUUUGCACCAGAGAGGCAACUCCAGCCCACUCUAACCAGGCAGAGAGGAUCCUUGUUGGGAGAUCAGUUUGCUCCUCCAGGAGCAUCAUGUUCCCCUUGGCCAGCUAAAUCUUCCCUCUACAAGGCCUGAAGAGUCCAAGGUAAGAAAUGUCGUGUGUGGUUUCACAUGGUUUAUUAAACCUGCAAAGAGGUUUGUCCUGGCAAAGGAGCAUCGUGGUGCUAUUAUAAAGCAGAAUGGCACCAGGGCAUCAUCUCCAGCUAAUUGUUUCAUCAACUUGGAGAGCAACAGCUGCUUGCUAAAUAAGGCUCUUCUUUUCUGCUUUGCAAUUGUGCUCUUCUGGCUGCCAAGAAAAGCUCUGACAUUAAAGGCUUCUCAGGGCCUCUACAAGUGUUGCCUUUGGUUUUAGUCCAGAAAGGCAAAAAGCAAAACCAAGG
This 792-nucleotide long non-coding RNA is filed under the name Corvus moneduloides (New Caledonian crow). Its description in RNAcentral is "lncRNA (ENSCMUG00000010345.2)". Lineage: Eukaryota; Metazoa; Chordata; Aves; Passeriformes; Corvidae. The record is from RNAcentral.